GCGUGCGGGCGAUACGGGCAGACUAGAGUACUGCAGGGGAGACUGGAAUUCCUGGUGUAGCGGUGGAAUGCGCAGAUAUCAGGAGGAACACCGGUGGCGAAGGCGGGUCUCUGGGCAGUAACUGACGCUGAGGAGCGAAAGCGUGGGGAGCGAACAGGAUUAGAUACCCUGGUAGUCCACGCCGUAAACGGUGGGUACUAGGUGUGGGUUUCCUUCCUUGGGAUCCGUGCCGUAGCUAACGCAUUAAGUACCCCGCCUGGGGAGUACGGCCGCAAGGCUAAAACUCAAAGGAAUUGACGGGGGCCCGCACAAGCGGCGGAGCAUGUGGAUUAAUUCGAUGCAACGCGAAGAACCUUACCUGGGUUUGACAUGCACAGGACGC
Molecule: ribosomal RNA, 382 nt
Filed under: uncultured Mycobacterium sp.
Lineage: Bacteria; Bacillati; Actinomycetota; Actinomycetes; Mycobacteriales; Mycobacteriaceae
Description: bacterial SSU rRNA
Rfam family: Bacterial small subunit ribosomal RNA
Source: RNAcentral